CACGUAGUUAGCCGGUGCUUAUUCUUCAGGUACCGUCAUUAGCCCAGGAUAUUAGCCCGGACCGUUUCUUCCCUGACAAAAGAGCUUUACAACCCGAAGGCCUUCUUCACUCACGCGGCAUUGCUGGAUCAGGGUUGCCCCCAUUGUCCAAAAUUCCCCACUGCUGCCUCCCGUAGGAGUCUGGGCCGUGUCUCAGUCCCAGUGUGGCUGGUCGUCCUCUCAGACCAGCUACUGAUCGAUGCCUUGGUAGGCUUUUACCCUACCAACUAGCUAAUCAGAUAUCGGCCGCUCCACGAGCAUGAGGUCUUGCGAUCCCCCAUUUCAUCCUUAGAUCGUAUGCGGUAUUAGCUAGUCUUUCGACUAGUUAUCCCCCAUCCAGGGCACGUUCCGAUAUAUUACUCACCCGUUCGCCACUCGCCACCAUGGUUGCCUCGUGCUGCCGUUCGACCUGCAUGUGUAAGGCAUGCCGCCAGCGUUCAAUCUGAGCCAGGA
RNAcentral lists this ribosomal RNA (492 nucleotides) under uncultured Herbaspirillum sp. RNAcentral describes it as "partial 16S ribosomal RNA". The record is from RNAcentral. Lineage: Bacteria; Pseudomonadati; Pseudomonadota; Betaproteobacteria; Burkholderiales; Oxalobacteraceae.